Molecule: unclassified non-coding RNA, 319 nt
Filed under: fungal sp.
Lineage: Eukaryota; Fungi
Description: partial internal transcribed spacer region
Rfam family: Eukaryotic small subunit ribosomal RNA (bases 1-46)
Source: RNAcentral
AAGUCGUAACAAGGUAACCGUAGGUGAACCUGCGGUUGGAUCAUUAAAAAUUCAAUCAUUGUAUGAUUAACUAUAGUGAUCUUUGAUGGUAUACUUGAGCUCCUAAAUUUAUUUGGUUGAGCUUAAAGUAUUCAAUACCAUCAUAGUAUCCUAUAGUUGAUUAUUACAACCAACACUUUGUGCACUAUCAUUGUAUUUUGGGAUUGACUCUUAAAACAAGUCAUCCCAGUUUCUAUUAUAAACCAUAUUAUUGAACAUUUGACUGAUACUUAUAUUUAUAUAUAAAAAACAACUUUUGACAACGGAUCUCUUGGCUCUC